RNAcentral lists this long non-coding RNA (1415 nucleotides) under Sus scrofa (pig). Its description in RNAcentral is "lncRNA (ENSSSCG00070022439.1)". Lineage: Eukaryota; Metazoa; Chordata; Mammalia; Artiodactyla; Suidae. The record is from RNAcentral.
UUUGCAUGGAAACCCAUCUGGAGGCAGAUGCUCUCGGUGGACUCACACAGCAUAUGGGCAGAUCGCACCUGCCUUGGGGGGACAUGGCCUCCGAUUAGAGAGGCAACGGCUGGGGUUUGAAGAUGUCAGUUAAAAACAAAAACUUUCUUUAAAAAGUACCAGUUUAAAUGUAAACUAUGAAACACGUGAACUAUAAAAUGUAGCCAGAAAGAUGCUGAAGUAUCCACAGUCAAUUACUGAAAAUGUGACUCUCUGGAGAUCUUAGAAGGCUCAGAGCAUUUGACAGUAGCUAAAAACAUAUAUCCUUAACAUGUGCUUUUGAAAAUCACAUUUGAUUACAAGACAGAGAAUAAUCUCUUCCUUGGUUUAAUUUUUGUGGUAAAGAUGAGCUAUUUUCAGAAUUCACUUAAGCAACGAUGACCAGCGUAUGAGUGAAUUGUUAUUUUCAGCCCAUGCAGAGUUCCUAAGUCUUUUAAAUCCCAAGAUCAAGCUGGCUACAUGAUUUCAAAAAAGCCUAAAACCAGGAUGAAUGCCCACAUUUGAGGUAAUUAUUGCCAUCAGGUCACAGUUUGUGUAAGAUAAUGUAUCUAAAACCUUCUUUAGAUAGAUCUUUAGGUGCUCUGUCAGAAUUCCAGAAUACCUAUUGAAACCAACCAAUUCUGAUUAGUUGGGUUUGCUUCCAAUGGAAUUAAAGUUCUAGAAGGUUCUAGAACUUGUGUAAACUACCUAAGCAUUUAGGCAAACAAGCCUGGAGCCAGUCAAUAAAGAAGUUUCUGAAAUUAAAAAGAAAACAAAAAACCCACCCAAAACAACUGAGAUGUUUCUUAAAGCAAGAAUAGUUUCCUAAAAAAUUAAAAAUCUAAAGUAUUUCUAAAUUCUUGCCACCUUUCAACCAACAUAAAAAUGCUUCUGUAUUAUCCUGAAAGUUGCCUAGUUUUUCUCAGUUUACAAAACCGCUACCUUCCGUCUGAGGUUAUCUCAAAAGACAACCUUAUUUUGUUCCUCUUUCUAAAAGUCAUCUUGUCUUUCUCCUCCUUUUUUUGUUUUUGUUUUUGUUUUUUUUUUUACACAAAGAAAACAGUUCCUGGACACCAGACCCACACACAAUAUUUACAAAUUUGGUGUGAAUCCCGCACCUGGGUCUACCCAGAGCCGAAAGAGUAGAUGAUGACAGAGACCAGAAGUGUCAUGAUAUUUCUCAGUGCAGUAAAAAAUAGCAUUUUGAAAAAAAUAUAUACCUUUAGUAUUGCCUUUAUAGAAUUAACUACAAGCAAGAAAAAAAUUAUUUUUUUUUUAAAGAAGAAAAGAACACUUUUUUCCCUCCCUCUUACAAGAGUUAGUUGUAGCAGCACUACGAAAGCUAGCUGGUACACUGGAAAGGAAGAGCCAAAAGAAACACGCUUAAGAGUUUUCUC